RNAcentral lists this long non-coding RNA (449 nucleotides) under Rattus norvegicus (Norway rat). RNAcentral describes it as "long non-coding RNA NONRATT000030". The record is from RNAcentral. Lineage: Eukaryota; Metazoa; Chordata; Mammalia; Rodentia; Muridae.
GAAAUGUACACAGGGAGCUCUUUGGAAAAUUCUUACCGUAUCUUCUGCAAGGGAAUCUUCCAUCUGGUUCAUCAAAGCCAAAGCAACCUCACACUUCCCUCACCCUGGCACACGUUUCUCCCUACGGGUGCAAGGAGCAAGAAACAAAAAUAACAAAGAAAAUCUGUGACAGAUGAACUGUUCAUUGCUGGAAUGUUCCAUAGUCCGCUGCUUCGCGGGGGACCUGUGCUGUGCAUGAUGUAGUACCGUCCUCCACCUCAGAAGUUUCCGGGCCGUCUUCUAUGGAUAAUUACUUCUGGGAAGCAGAGUCAGAGAAUCUGAACUUAAUUUUACCCUGUGAGAGAAAUGUAGACUGAACACAAAGUGGCCACAGUUGUGUUAAAAGGAUCAGACUUCAACACCCACUCAGCUUCUGACUGAAUUGCUCUGCUAAAAAAAAAAAAAAAAAA